GCUGUCUGUGGAUUCCGUGCCC
RNAcentral lists this microRNA (22 nucleotides) under Danio rerio (zebrafish). RNAcentral describes it as "Dre-Mir-191_3p* (star (passenger))". Lineage: Eukaryota; Metazoa; Chordata; Actinopteri; Cypriniformes; Danionidae. The record is from RNAcentral.